Molecule: ribosomal RNA, 122 nt
Filed under: Periophthalmus magnuspinnatus
Lineage: Eukaryota; Metazoa; Chordata; Actinopteri; Gobiiformes; Gobiidae
Source: RNAcentral
CUUUGAGGCUCUCCACAGUAGUGAGCCGAGUAUUUUAAGUAUAAUAUCUCAGAAGCUAAGCCGUGUUGGGUCUGGUUAGUACUUCGAUGGGAAACCGCUGUGAAUACCAGGUGUCAUAAUGG